This 500-nucleotide ribosomal RNA is filed under the name Botrytis cinerea. Its description in RNAcentral is "eukaryotic LSU rRNA". The stretch from base 138 to 291 matches the Rfam family "5.8S ribosomal RNA". The record is from RNAcentral. Lineage: Eukaryota; Fungi; Ascomycota; Leotiomycetes; Helotiales; Sclerotiniaceae.
GCCCGAAAGGGUAGACCUCCCACCCUUGUGUAUUAUUACUUUGUUGCUUUGGCGAGCUGCCUUCGGGCCUUGUAUGCUCGCCAGAGAAUACCAAAACUCUUUUUAUUAAUGUCGUCUGAGUACUAUAUAAUAGUUAAAACUUUCAACAACGGAUCUCUUGGUUCUGGCAUCGAUGAAGAACGCAGCGAAAUGCGAUAAGUAAUGUGAAUUGCAGAAUUCAGUGAAUCAUCGAAUCUUUGAACGCACAUUGCGCCCCUUGGUAUUCCGGGGGGCAUGCCUGUUCGAGCGUCAUUUCAACCCUCAAGCUUAGCUUGGUAUUGAGUCUAUGUCAGUAAUGGCAGGCUCUAAAAUCAGUGGCGGCGCCGCUGGGUCCUGAACGUAGUAAUAUCUCUCGUUACAGGUUCUCGGUGUGCUUCUGCCAAAACCCAAAUUUUUCUAUGGUUGACCUCGGAUCAGGUAGGGAUACCCGCUGAACUUAAGCAUAUCAAUAAGCGGAGGAA